Molecule: long non-coding RNA, 1871 nt
Filed under: Paramuricea clavata
Lineage: Eukaryota; Metazoa; Cnidaria; Anthozoa; Malacalcyonacea; Plexauridae
Source: RNAcentral
GGAAGUCCUGACGAGACGAAGCCAGCUCAACAGUCAGUGACUGCCGUGGAAGACGCAGUUACACUUGCCAAUGCCAUUGGGAAUCUGAAGAUCGUAUCAAAUGAACGAUUCGAGUUGGCUAAAAAAUCUUUCGAAAAAGCAGCAGAAAAAGCAAGCGAAGCAUUUCAUAACACAGCACUGAGCACAGACGAAAGAAUCCUUGCGAGUAAAGUUCGCAUCGCGAGCGCAAUACUUCAGCAUUUGGACGACCCAGAAGUCGCGGCAAGUGACUGUUUAAACAGCUUGAGAGAAUUAAAUGACAUGCCAUCCAUACAAGAAAUAUUUUCCGUGCAUCUUAAAGGUGGAAUAAAAUCAGUCUUCAACAAAGAGUCACGAGUGGAAGUCGUGGAAACUGUAACGAUGAUCAAUUUGAUCUUGGCUGAUUUUAUCUCGAAGUUUACAAAGCGAAGAAUGGCUGUUUUUGAUUGGCCAAUGAUAAAAUGUGGCAAGCGAAUUGUCCAUCCGAUUCAUUACGACCAAACGAGAUUACCAAAUCUGAAAGAAAUGGAAAUAACACCACCCUGGGACAUUGUAGUGCUAAAAGAGGCAAUCUCGGCCAGGUCAAUGCAUUGGCUGGCUGCAUUAACCAGAAAAGGAGAUCUUAUUUGUUUCCCCGAUGACAGACAUGGUCCUCAAAAACUCGACAUAACAACAGGUAAGCUGCAGCCGUACCGUCGUCCUCCUUUGGAAGACAACACUGAACAUCCUCAGCCCCGGGGUAUAGCCAUGGAUUUAGCUUUCGAUGAAGACGACACAAUGUAUGUUCUUUCGGAAGACUACUCGCCUAACUAUACCCUUGGCUAUACGUUGUCAGUGUACAGUGCAGAUGAAAGAAAUAUGCAUCAUUGUAGUUUGAAAUUCUUGGAAGGAAAAAGCUCUGUUAACAUUCCUAUUACUGUGACCAAAGAUAAAAAGAUUGUUAUUAGUUGUGUAAAUAAUGAGACGUCGAAUAUCAUGGUAUAUUUAUGUAACAGCGACGGAAAACUGAUGAACAGCUUUGACAUAGGUCUGAAGUCAAGAAGCAGCUGGGGUAAUAGUAAACAUUACAUAGAAUUCGUGUCCGUUUCUUUCGAUAAUAAAAUAAUACUCGUAACAUGCAAAAUUGACGAUUCAGAAUCAUACAUGCUUCAUAUCUACACAGAAGACGGAGAGUUACAAAGGACUGUUAAAUUUCGUCCAAGUGAAGGUAACACGUUUUUCUCUGGCACAAUGGUUUACAACCAAGUCACCGAGAACAUCAUUGGUCGUGUUAAGUUAAAGGGGUCUCCAUAUGGUGAUGAUGAGAAGAUAUGGAUAGAAUAUUUGUCCGGUCAAACUGCUGAAAGUGAGUGCUCAUAUUUGCUGUAUGAUACAAACUUUCCAGAAAGUAUACCAACACGGGUUAUCAGUCUUGUCUGCAACACAAAUGGUGCAGUUGCUUUGGUUAGUGAAAAUCGUGUCAUUUUUCUGCAAAAACCAUCUCCGUGAACUUCAACAGAAUAUUUUGUUGAUUUUACCGUGAAUACUCUAUUAAGCGCCUCUCAUUCACAGCAAAGAAACACCAGUGUAUACCACUGGAAAAAAAUUUUGAAAAUCCAUAUAAGGUCAGAAUAGAAAUUGUAUGGAACUUUAUUGGAAAUAGAAUGGAUUUUGAUGAUCCAUAAUAAUUGUAUAUUUCCAUAGUAUGGAUAUAGUAUCGAAAUACUGAAAAUAGGAUGGAUAUACUAUGGAUUUAGUGGCAGGGCAUUUUUUAAGAAUUCGUCAGUGGGGGGGCCAUCUACAAAAAGGGACCAUACUAUACAGAGUGUGGAGCAAUGAUAGAUGGUUUGUUGGUAACAAAACGUUUGGUGUGG